CCCUUAGAUGUCCUGGGCCGCACGCGCGCUACACUGACAUGUUCAACAAGCCUCCUAGUUCGACAGGAUUUGGGAAAUCUUUGAACGCAUGUCGUGAUAGGGAUAGAUCAUUGCAAUUAUUGAUCUUGAACGAGGAAUUCCUAGUAAACGCGAGUCAUCAGCUCGCAUUGAUUACGUCCCUGCCCUUUGUACACACCGCCCGUCGCUACUACCGAUUGAAUGGUUUAGUGAGGCCUUCGGAUCCGCGAUUUUAUUGUGGAGAAGUUGGACAAACUCAGUCAUUUAGAGGAAGUAAAAGUCGUAACA
This 306-nucleotide ribosomal RNA is filed under the name uncultured eukaryote. RNAcentral's name for it is "partial 18S ribosomal RNA". It matches the Rfam family "Eukaryotic small subunit ribosomal RNA", at positions 1470 to 1796 of the family's 1831-position model. The record is from RNAcentral.